UUAAGCCAUGCAAGUGGUUAUAUCAACCCGACAGUUUAAAUAAGUGUUAAAUUGCUACACAUUAUAAACGCAACAUUAUUCAUCUACAUACAGUGAAUACUUUUUACACAGUAUCACUUACGCAACUGCAGACAGCUGCUUAAUACAGUCACACUUGUCUUGACUUGGCUAUUAAAUAUUAUGCUAUAGCAUAAACUGAACUCACGCAGUAUAAUCGUAUGCUACAACUACACACAAAAAAAUGACAUACGCGUUCUGUGGAAGGUUAGUGACCUGCAUAGUAAAUAUUAAAAUUAAAAUUGUUUACAAGCUACGUACAGUAUCUACGCAGUUGAUACCACACAACAACUCACUGCAUUUUACGAUCUGUGCAAGCUGUUUUACAAUGAUUUCUCUGUAUCGCGUUAUACUUACAAGAACAUGCGUUACACCGUGACAAAUUUCUUUAUGGAUAACUCAGGGAAAGUUUGGCUAAUACGUACGAGUAUUUUUAAAACACACUGUAAUUGUGUAACAUAAUUAUCUCUCUACAGGCGAGUGCAUAACAGCGCUUAACGGCAGAAUGAAUUAUUAUUCAGCACUUUCUACAACAACAUACUACUCAGCACUCAAUGGUAAGCUUUGGUUUUUUACGUUCGCGUAAUUACCAGUUUAAAGUUUAACUGCAACAUGAGAGACAUUGAGCACGCACGUGGUGGGGUAAUUUAUUCGUUUCGCCACAUCUACGCUGAGCAGACUUUGCGAAGUUUACUUUGCGAAGCAUGUCAUACAAGCAUCUACAGCAUCAAGUCACAGGGUUGGCAAGUGUAUUUUUGAACCUUCAAAGCAGUCACGCAUACGGAAGAGUAGUUUCUGAUCCCAUAGAAGGAGCACCGUACAAUGAGAGACCGCUCUUAGUUCUAAGGAACGCAGCAGGCGCGUAAAUUGCCCAAUGCUAGUACCCUACAAAUUACAUAGUAUUAAUACAACAAUUUACAAUAAAACAAGUUUAUAAAACACGCACAUUAUAACACAUUAUUUCAUUCUGUCCUACAGAAUAUCAUACAUAUCCUUGUUCGUUGUAACUCACGUAAUUUAUUUUACUGAGGCAGUGACAAGCUGUAACGGUUGAGUAUAAAAAUGACGAGUGUCUGGCAUUGCCGCUCUUUCGGGAGCUUGGCAAGUUGCCGACGCUUUGUGUGCUCAAUUGGAAUGC
RNAcentral lists this ribosomal RNA (1195 nucleotides) under Hyalinea balthica. Its description in RNAcentral is "SSU rRNA". The record is from RNAcentral. Lineage: Eukaryota; Foraminifera; Rotaliida; Planulinidae.